AGAGUUUGAUCAUGGCUCAGGAUGAACGCUGGCGGCGUGCCUAAUACAUGCAAGUCGAACGGGAAACUUGAAUUCGUUCAGGUGGAGAGUGGCGCACGGGUGAGUAACACAUGGCUGACCUGCCCUUCAGACGAGGACAACCGGUGGAAACGCUGGCUAAUACUCGAUACGUUCGGGGGAGUUAGAGACCCCUGAAGAAAGUGAUUAGCGCUGAAGGAGGGGGCUGUGGCCCAUCAGCUAGUUGGUAAGGUAACGGCUUACCAAGGCUCGGACGGGUAGGGGGCCUGAGAGGGUGACCCCCCACACGGGUACUGAGACACGGACCCGACUCCUACGGGAGGCAGCAGUAAGGGAUAUUGCGCAAUGGGCGAAAGCCUGACGCAGCAACGCCGCGUGCGGGAUGACGGCCUUCGGGUUGUAAACCGCUUUUCUGCGUGAAGAGGAAGGACGGUAGCGCAGGAAUAAGUCUCGGCUAACUACGUGCCAGCAGCCGCGGUAAAACGUAGGAGGCGAGCGUUAUCCGGAUUUACUGGGUGUAAAGCGCGUGCAGGCGGCUUUGUAAGUGGUGCGUGAAAGCGCUCAGGCUCAACCGGGCGAGGACGUGCCAAACUGCGGAGCUGGAGGUAGGUAGAGGCGUGUGGAAUUCCGGGUGUAGUGGUGAAAUGCGUAGAGAUCCGGAGGAACACCAGUGGCGAAGGCGACACGCUGGGCCUGACCUGACGCUAAGACGCGAAAGCAUGGGGAGCGAACGGGAUUAGAAACCCCGGUAGUCCAUGCCGUAAACGAUGUCUACUAAGUGUUGCGGGGUAGAACCUGCAGUGCUGCAGCCAACGUGAUAAGUAGACCACCUGGGGAGUACGGUCGCAAGGCUAAAACUCAAAGGAAUUGACGG
RNAcentral lists this ribosomal RNA (892 nucleotides) under uncultured bacterium. Its description in RNAcentral is "bacterial SSU rRNA". It matches the Rfam family "Bacterial small subunit ribosomal RNA", at positions 8 to 916 of the family's 1533-position model. The record is from RNAcentral.